CUGACUACGCCUGUACGGAGAGAGGUCCGGGUUCGAACCUGCAAUAAAGUGAUCCCGGCCGCUUGGCUUUGACUUCGGUUUCUGGUGGUCGUCUUUGAGGGGGGUCUCGGAACUCAGGGCACAACAAACUUUGGUGCUGUGACUCAGAUUGGGGGACCUCCCUUGGGAGACCAAUCCCCUGUCCUUCUGCUCUUUGCUCUAUGAGAAAGAUUCACCUAUGACCUCUGGCCCUCAGACUAACCAGCCCAAGGAACAUCUCACCAAUUUUAAAUCCGGACCCCACUAGAUAUUGGACUGUCCAACUCGCCGGCAGCCACUCCUACAGCCCCUAAAGCUCUAGCCCAAGGCUCUCUGACUGACUCCUUCCCAGAUCUGCUUGGUUUAGUGGCUGAAGACUGACGCUGCCCGGUCGCCUUGGAAGCCCCCUGGACCAUCACAGACACUGAGCUUUGGGUAAUUCUUACAGUGGAGGGACACAGUUGGAGAAAGUGGUUAUUUUUUACCAAGGCUUUGACUGGAAUGUUGUGCUUUCUUUUAAGAAAUCAAACUCAACUUGUAGAGCCAAUAAAAGCUCCUUGGGAAAACUGACAUCAUACCUUAUCUACAUAGUCCCUGUACAGGGUUUCUGACCUGUGACUGACCCUGCUCAUUCCAACCAAUGAUUCCUGCAGCUCAGAAGAAACAAGACGGCUGGCUAAUAUAAAAAUCUGGAUCAGAGUUCUAAUUCUGGGCACAUUGGAAUCAGACCUCAGUUGCUAAUGACAAUGGAGUUAUACCAGUUUCCAAAACUGGGCCAACUUUAUAGAAGUCAAAGAAAGAGCAAAAUAUGGGCACAUUUAAACAACUACUAAUAACAAAAGGAUUCAAACGAAGCUCCAUAUUGCUAAAAGGAAUCUCUUAUACAGGUGAUGCAGGGAGGUCAAGAGAGUCCCCUAAUCACCACCCAGGAAGUGCUGGAGUAAGACCUUGACCUGGGCCUGCUUUCCCAAGGCCUAUGCUCUCUGCUCCACGUCAUCUUGAUGGCCUGCAGCAUGGAGCUCUAGAGUCUCCCUUGUUAUAUCACAUCAAGGAACGAUUGGGUGCAAUUUUUCCUAAAGGGAGGCUGGCCAUAUGAAUUUACUUGGAAGGGUCCCAGAUACUGUCCUCCAAUUUGUCUUUCCAAAUUGAUUUGGAUGACAAAUUACAUGGUUUUCAUAUCAAUGGUCCGUGACACUCCCUUUCUCCAGGGUCUUGGAGAUAAGACUCCAAUUUGGUCUGAAACUUACCACCAGGGAUAAAACCUGAGGCCAGACAGGCUGCCCCUGCAACUAUAUUUGAUGCAGCCCAAGGGUAACGGCGGCCGAUGCGAUCGAUGGUGAGGAUGACCAUGAAGGCAGCCGGGAAUUCAACCAGGGCAGAGUAGAAGAAUUCCAGGAAACCAGAAGACCAAGUGAGUCCAGCUUCCCUUCUUGAUGACUUCUCUUCUGGCCUGACACAAACAACAUUUGGACAAUGUUUCUAGUUUAUUAACUAAAAAUGGUCUUUAUGUAUAAUGGAAAAUAUGAGGAUAAUCAACAAAAGUCACGAUUACUCAGAAAAGGAAAGAAGGAUAAUGAGGCCGAAUUUCAAAGCUGCUUCUCCUGUGCACUAUUGCAAAGGUUGCUAAAUGAAUUCCUGAUGAGCUUUGUUUUUGUCAGUGAUUGUAAAUCUCCAUUUGCCUGGGAGAUCCAAUGUGCCCCGAAAAGAUGCAUUCCCCACUAGAGAAAGCAUGGCUCAAAGCUCUGAGAGCAGCCUGUAGAUAGCAAACACAAUAAAGAUCAAGUCACUGGGCUGUGAAGCCACUGGAAUUACUCUUGGGAAUUAUUAUUGUUCAGAAAUUUAUUUUUUCUCUAGGUAGAAAAGAAAAAAGGAAAGAAAAGG
Molecule: long non-coding RNA, 1899 nt
Organism: Piliocolobus tephrosceles (Ugandan red Colobus)
Lineage: Eukaryota; Metazoa; Chordata; Mammalia; Primates; Cercopithecidae
Exons: 7
Source: RefSeq, a predicted model, not a curated record